Molecule: long non-coding RNA, 4974 nt
Filed under: Nicotiana tabacum (common tobacco)
Lineage: Eukaryota; Viridiplantae; Streptophyta; Magnoliopsida; Solanales; Solanaceae
Description: long non-coding RNA (NTAB_LNC012429)
Source: RNAcentral
AAAAAAACCUAGACUAUACACAAAAAAAGCUUCAGCCGUUUUUCAGAAUUUUAAACCCUAGGACCCCUUCUUCUUCUUCCUUAAGACUUAACCCUAGAUAAUCUCCCAAAGAAGAACCAAGCCGCACCCUCGCAGCUAUCCGCCAAGGUCUCCGGGAAGAUUCACAUUUCUGUCAAGUUGUCGUUGUUUAAGUUUUCCGGUGUUGCAUUUUCAGAUUUCAUUUGGCAAAAAUAUACCUAAGGUUCGUUCCUAAACUUAUUCUGGAUUAAUAUAAAUUUUGAUGUUUUGUGCAUGUAUAUGUGAAUGAAUUAAGUUCUGUUUAUAUCACAUACUAAAAUUGUUGUUUAAUGUAGGCUGUUGCAUUGGUUAAUUAAGAAGAAUUUAGGUUUAAGUUGAUUAUAAACAUAAAUGGUUUGUUUUGACAAUUUCGUCUGUAAUUAGAAGUUAAUAAUGAAUUGGGGUCAGGUUGAUAAAACUAGAAAAGGUUUUUGUCGAGGAAGUUGAUUUGGAGUUUUUUUUAAAAAUAAAAAAAAAUGGGGCUCGAGAGCAUUUUCCAUUAUUUUACUUAUGUUGUUGUCUAAUUGUGUCGAUAGAAUGUAUGUUUAGGCCCUCCACAUCUAGAUGUACAUUUCAUGUGACCUGACUUCUUUCCAAUAAUGUUAAACAAAAUAAACAUGUCAUGAAUUGCAGGUGCAUUUAAUAUAGUGUGUUUUAUGAUGUGUUUUCCAAAACGACAAGUGUACGACAAUCGUGACUUGUUCCAGAAAUAACUCCAUAAAUACUAAAAACGGUUAAAAAGUUAAAACAUGCACAAAUAGGUUCUAAAUACGUAAUGAAUCAUAUAAUUAGGCCAAUUAUUAAUAGUUGAGCGACCGUGCUAAAACCACAAAAUUCGGGAAUGCCUAAUACCUUUUCCCGAGUUAACAAAAUUUCUUACCCAGAUUUCUGUGUCCGCAGACCAUAAAUAAGAGUCAAACUUCCUUGAUUCGGGAUUUUAAAUCGGUGACUUGGGAUACCAUAAAUUAUCCCUAGUGGCGACUCUGAAUUUGAUAUAAAUAAUCCCAUUUCGAUUUUGUCACUUUAAUUGGAAAACUCCCUUAUACCCUUUCGCGUAGAAAAAGGAGGUGUAACAAGUUUUUGUUAGAUUCCGUGGCAUUCAUCUAUUGCAACACCUAUGACUAGGCUGACCUAGAAAGGGUGCUCUAUUCCAGUGGACGGAAGAGUGUGAAGUGAGCUUCCAGAAGCUUAAUAUAGCUUUGACUACAGCCCCAGUUUUGAUAUUGCCUACAGGUUCAGGGUCUUAUACUGUCUAUUGUGAUGCCUCGAGGAUUAGCCUUGGAACGGUAUUGAUGUAGGAUGGUAGGGUGAUUGCCUACGCGUCCAGACAGUUGAAGGUACAUGAGAAGAAUUAUCUUAUCCAUGAUCUCGAGUUAGCUAGUAUUGUUCAUGCAUUGAAGAUCUGGCAUCAUUAUUUGUACGGUGUUCCUUGUGAGAUCUAUACUGAUCACCAGAGUUUGCAGCACCUGUUCAAGUAGAAGGACCUUAAUUUGCACCAGAGGAGGUCGUUAGAGCUGCUAAAGGACUAUGAUAUCACUAUCUUGUAUCACCUAGGCAAGACCAAUGUGGUGGCUGAUACUUUGAGUCGCUGGGCGGAGAGUCUAGGGAGUUUUGCUUAUCUACCAGCAGCGAGAGGCCCUUGGCGAUGGAUGUUUAGGCCUUAGCCAACCAGGUUGUGAGAUUGGAUCUUUCCGAGCCCAGUCGGAUUCUAGCUUGUAUGAUUUCUCAGUCUUCCUUAUUUGAUCGUAUCAGAGAGCGUUAGUAUGAUGACCCUCAUUUACGCGUCCUCAAGGAUAAGGUCCUGCAUGGCGAUGCUAGAGAUGUGAAUAUUAGUGAUAAUGGGGUAUUGAGGAUGUAGAGUCAGAUAUGUGUACCCAAUGUUGAUGGGCUUCGGGAGUCGAUUCUAGAGGAGGCCCAUAGUUCGCGGUAUUCCAUCCAUUCGGGUGCUGCGAAGAUGUACCAGGAUUUGAGUCAGGACUAUUGGUGGAGGCGAAUGAAGAAAAAUAUAGUUGGGUUUGUAGCUCGGUGCCUCAAUUGUCAGCAGGUGAAAUAUGAGCACCAUAGACCGGGUGGGUUGCUUCAGCAGAUAGAGAUUCCAGAGUGGAAGUGGAAGCGGAUCACCAUGGACUUCGUAGUUGAACUCCUACGGACUUUGAAGAAGUUUGAUGCCAUUUGGGUGAUUGUGGAUUGGCUGACCAAGUCCACGCACUUCAUUCCUGUGUGUACUACCUAUUCUUUAGAGUGGUUGGUAGAUAUUUAUAUCCGGGAGAUUGUUCGUCUACAUGGUAUUCCAAUUUCCAUCAUUUCAUACAGAGGUACUCAGUUCACAUCACGGUUCUGGUGGGCCGUAUAGCAUGAGUUGGGUACUCGGGUGGAGUUGAGCACAUCAUUUCACCCCCAGAUGGACGGACAGUCCAAACACACUAUUCAGAUUCUUGAAAAUAUGCUCCGUGCGUGUGUGAUGGAGUUUGGAGGUUCUUCGGAUCAGUACUUGCCACUGACGGAGUUUGCCUACAACAAUAGUUAUCAGUCCAACAUUUAGAUGGCACCGUAUGAGGCCUUGUAUGGUAGGCGGUGUAGACCCCCGAUGGGUUGGUUUGAGCCGGGUGAGGCAAGAUUAUUGGGUAAAGACUUGGUACAGGAUGCCUUAAAUAAGGUUAAGGUGAUUUAGGAUAGACUCCGUACAGCCAAGUCUAGAUAGAAGAGUUACGCAGAAUGGAAGGUUCGUGAUGUUUCCUAUAUGGUUGGAGAGCGGGUCUUGCUUCGGGUUUCGCCUAUGAAGGGGGUUAUGAGAUUGGGAAGAAAGGAAAAUUGAGUCCGAGGUUUAUUGGUCCUUUUGAGAUAUUGCGACAUGUUAGGGAGGCUGCUUAUGAGCUUGCCUUACCUCCAAGCUUGGCAGGAGUUCAUCCGGUAUUUCAUGUUUCGAUGCUCAGGAAGUAUCACGAUGAUCCGUCGUACGUGUUAGAUUUCAGUUCAGUCUAGUUGGAAAAGGAUCUAUCUUAUGUUGAGGAGCCAGUGGCGAUAUUGGACAGGCAGGUUCGAAAGCUGAGGUCAAAGAAUGCAUCAGUGAAGGUUCAGUGGCGGGGUCAGCCGGUCGAGGAGGCGACUUGGUAGACCGAGCAGGAUAUGUGCAGUCGUUACACUCAUCUUUUCACUACUUCAGGUAUGUCUCUAUGCUCGUUAGUGGAUGAACGAAUAUUUUAAGAGGGGAAAGAGGUAACGACCCGGCUGGUCAUUUUAAGAAUUUACACUAUGAUCCUCUAUUAACUGCUUUUCCCAUGUUUGUUUCUGCUAUUUUGAUUUGUCGGGAUAAUUCGUUGUGAGUUUCGGAGUGUUUUGGGACACUUAGUCCCUCAAUGAGAGCUUAAGCUUUAGAAUUUGGACCGUAGUCGGAGUAGUGUGAAGACGGUCUCGGAAUGGAAUUCCGUCGAUUCUGUUAGCUCCAUUGAGUGAUUUUGGGUUUAGGGGCGUGUUCGGAUUGUAUUUUGGAGGUUCGUAGCUUAUUUAGGCUUGAAAUGCCGAAAGUUGAAUUUUUAAAGUUUCCAGAUCGAUAGUGAGAUUUUAAUUUCGGGGUUGGAAUCCGAUUUCGAGAGUUGGAAUAGCUCCGUAGGGUUGAAUGUGACUUGUGUGCAAAUUUUGGGGUCAAUCGGAUUUGGUUUGGUUGGUUUUAUCAUCGGGUGUAGGAUUCUUGAGAUUUCUAGUUCAUAAGGCUUAGAUUGGAGGGUGAUUCGUGGUUUUAGCUUAGUUUGAUGAGAUUCGAGGGUUGGAAUAAGUUCGUAUGAUGUUUUAAGAUUGGUUGGCAUAUUUGGUUGAGGUCUCGGGGGCCUCGAGUGAGUUUCAGAUGUCUAACUUAUUUUCAUGCAUUAGAAUUGAUUCAUUUAGCAUUCAUUGAUAUAGUUAAGUAACUUGUGAAUAGAUAUAAGCAAAUUGGUGGUGGAAACAAGAGGUAAAGCGGUAGUUGAGGCUUGAAUUGUGUUCGUGGCAUCGAGGUAAGUGUUUGGUCUAACCUUAGCUUGAGGGAUUAGGAAUUGUGUCCUAUUUGCUAUGUGUUAGUUGUUGAGUACGAUGUAUAGGCAUGGUGAUGAGUAUCUAUACAUUGGUGUCAAGCAUCCCCGUGAGUCUUAUACUAUGGUUUAUGUGGCUCUGUUUCAUAUUGUUCAUGCUUUAUAUAGUGAUUUCUAUUAAUGAACAAGACUUGUGAAAGUAUCCUUGGUAAUUGAACAUUGUAGAGCAUUGGCUCAAGUUGAGAAUCGAGUAGUUGAAUAUUGUAGAGUAUUGGCUCAAGUUGAGAAAUUGAGUUGUGAAGUAAAUGUGGAAAAGAGAAGAGGUUUAUGACAUUAUCUCCCUUGUCGGGAUGUUUUUGCUUCGAUAUUAUUUUUCUUGCCGGGACGUUAUUAUUCAUGAUAUUGCUUUCCCUUGCCGGCAUAUUGUUGUUGUGUUAUUAUUCCCUUGCCAGGAUUUAAUUGUAAUUUUAUUGAUACCCUUGCCCUUAUUGCUUUGUGAUUGUUGUUUGGGUAAGGAAGAGUGUUAAAGCACGAAAGGUGAUGCCAUGCAUGAUAUUUGUGAGAGAGUGUAAAGCACGAAGGGUGAUGCCGUAUAUGAUUUUGAGAUCCCGGUGCAGCACGAACUGUUUGUAGAUCCCGGUGCAGCAGCUUUUGGACCGCAGUGAAGAUGCUGUCUUCAGUCCAUUCAGGCGACCUGGGGUAGUCCUGCAUGCGUCCGCAGGCCUUGGCAUCUCCUCCUAUCAUUUCCUUUCUGUUUUUACUUAUUCAGAGACAGAUUCGUGUAUUUCUAUUCAAACUGUAUUUGUAGUAUUCAUAGAUGGUCCGUGACAUUAUGGAACCAAAUUCUAGGUAGAGUUAUACUUAGACUUCUACAGUUUGUAUUAAUUUAAAUUAUCACAUUUCGUCUUCCGCA